This 1482-nucleotide long non-coding RNA is filed under the name Actinidia chinensis (golden kiwifruit). RNAcentral describes it as "long non-coding RNA (ACHI_LNC000270)". The record is from RNAcentral. Lineage: Eukaryota; Viridiplantae; Streptophyta; Magnoliopsida; Ericales; Actinidiaceae.
UAAUAUUCCGCAUGUGUCAAUACAUGAAAGCCGAUGCAUAGAUGUCUAGAGGUACAUACAUUAUACGAGUCGUUGACAAUUCAAUUACUCCCGAUGAUCAUCGUCAACGUCCAUAAUAGAAAAUAAAGGUUCGUUCUCUAAAUUUGUCCCAUCGCCACAGUUCACGAACUGGUAGUUAACGAUAAGAUGGCUUCUUGCAUUUCCUUGUCUGUCUGUGUCGAGUCCUUGAAACACACCAGCAUCCAAGUCUAGACCUUCGUUGCUGCAUUGGUCAACAAUUCUAACGGUUGUUUGAGCCCCAGUCCCUGUAUUUGUUACCUGUGCACCAGUCAUAUUCAUAUUACACAUCGUGUGUAUAAUAAUAAUGUUACAAUCGAUUCUGAUGUAUAUUAUGUUCGUUGUGCCGAAUGUUAUGGGGCGAUCAUGUUAAAAAUAAAGGCUCGUUCUCUAAAGUCGUCCUAUCGCCACAGUUCACGAAUUUGUAGCUAACGAUAAGAUGGCCUCUUGCAUUUCCUUGUCUGUCUGUGUCGAGUCCUCGAAACACACCAGCAUCCAAGUCUAGACCUCUAUUGCUGCAUUGGUCAACAAUUCUAAUGGUUGUUUGAGCCCCCAGUCCCUGUAUUCGUUACCUGUGCACCAGUCAUAUCCAUAUUACAUAUCGUGUGUAUAAUAAGAAUGUUACAAUCGAUUCUGAUGUAUAUUAUAUUCGUUGUGUCGAAUGUUAUGGGGUGAGCAUGUUAAAAAUAAAGGCUCGUUCUCUAAAGUCAUCCCAUCGCCACAGUUCACGAACUGAUAGCUAACGAUAAGAUAGCCUCUUGCAUUUCCUUGUCCGUUUGUGUCGAGUCCUUGAAACACACCAGCAUCCAAGUCUAGACCUCCGUUGCUGCAUUGGUCAAUAAUUCUAACGGUUGUUUGAGCCCCAGUCCCUGUAUUUGUUACCUGUGCACCAGUCAUAUCCAUAUUACAUAUCGUGUGUAUAAUAAGAAUGUUACAAUCGAUUCUGAUGUAUAUUAUGUUCAUUGUGCCGAAUGUUAUGGGGUGAUCAUGUUAAAAAUAAAGGCUCGUUCUCUAAAGUCGUCCCAUCGCCACAGUUCACGAAUUGGUAGCUAACGAUAAGAUGGCCUCUUGCAUUUCCUUGCCCGUCUGGGUCGAGUCCUUGAAAUACACCAACAUCCAAGUCUAGACCUCCGUUGCUGCAUUGGUCAAUAAUUCUAACGGUUGUUUGAGCCCCAGUCCCUGUAUUUGUUACCUAUGCACUAGUCAUAUCCAUAUUACACAUCGUGUGUAGAAUAAGAAUGUUACAAUCGAUUCUGAUGUAUAUUAUGUUCGUUGUACCGAAUGUUAUGGGGUGAGCAUGUUAAAAAAAAUAGUAUAUUACACAUUAACGUGAUAAGAGAAAAUAAAGUAAAAUAAAACAUAUAAAUGAUUCAACAAUAGGAUUGUCUAACUUUUCAAUUUUUAUUUUUUUUUACCUCACUAGAC